This 394-nucleotide ribosomal RNA is filed under the name Escherichia coli. Its description in RNAcentral is "bacterial LSU rRNA". It matches the Rfam family "Bacterial large subunit ribosomal RNA", at positions 2549 to 2925 of the family's 2925-position model. Lineage: Bacteria; Pseudomonadati; Pseudomonadota; Gammaproteobacteria; Enterobacterales; Enterobacteriaceae. The record is from RNAcentral.
GGGGCUGAAGUAGGUCCCAAGGGUAUGGCUGUUCGCCAUUUAAAGUGGUACGCGAGCUGGGUUUAGAACGUCGUGAGACAGUUCGGUCCCUAUCUGCCGUGGGCGCUGGAGAACUGAGGGGGGCUGCUCCUAGUACGAGAGGACCGGAGUGGACGCAUCACUGGUGUUCGGGUUGUCAUGCCAAUGGCACUGCCCGGUAGCUAAAUGCGGAAGAGAUAAGUGCUGAAAGCAUCUAAGCACGAAACUUGCCCCGAGAUGAGUUCUCCCUGACUCCUUGAGAGUCCUGAAGGAACGUUGAAGACGACGACGUUGAUAGGCCGGGUGUGUAAGCGCAGCGAUGCGUUGAGCUAACCGGUACUAAUGAACCGUGAGGCUUAACCUUACAACGCCGAAG